GCUCUGUGCCUCAACAACCUGCCCUGGGCCUGUCUCUCAGUCUCUGAAGCACCACAGAGGGGGCCUGAGAUUUACACCAUUCGCUCCAGAAGCUAACUACGCAGGAAUCACAGUGGGCUAGAUUAUACCCGGAGACUAGAGAGAGAGAGAGAUACCUCGGCAGCGACGAAGCAGCAGUUCUGGACAAAAACGGUUAGGGGUACAGGACACAGAAGAGCUAGAAAACAAGGCUCCAGUCAGAGGCCUGCUGUAAGAUACAGUAGGGACCCCUGAUGUACUGAAACCCCCUGAUGUACUGAAAUCCCCUGAUGUACUGUAAGCUACAGUAGGAAACCCCCUGAUGUACUGAAACCCCCUGAUGUACUAUAAGCUACAGUAGGAAACCCCCUGAUGUACUGAAACCCCCUGAUGUACUGUAAGCUACAGUAGG
Oncorhynchus tshawytscha (Chinook salmon) is the source of this 430-nucleotide long non-coding RNA. The record is from Ensembl. NCBI's taxonomy places the organism in Eukaryota, Metazoa, Chordata, Actinopteri, Salmoniformes, Salmonidae.